GAUGAACGCUGGCGGCGUGCCUAAUACAUGCAAGUCGAGCGAACAGACGAGGAGCUUGCUCCUCUGACGUUAGCGGCGGACGGGUGAGUAACACGUGGAUAACCUACCUAUAAGACUGGGAUAACUUCGGGAAACCGGAGCUAAUACCGGAUAAUAUAUUGAACCGCAUGGUUCAAUAGUGAAAGACGGUUUUGCUGUCACUUAUAGAUGGAUCCGCGCCGCAUUAGCUAGUUGGUAAGGUAACGGCUUACCAAGGCAACGAUGCGUAGCCGACCUGAGAGGGUGAUCGGCCACACUGGAACUGAGACACGUUCCAGACUCCUACGGGAGGCAGCAGUAGGGAAUCUUCCGCAAAAGGCGAAAUCCUGACGGAGCAACGCCGCGUGAGUGAUGAAGGUCUUCGGAUCGUAAAACUCUGUUAUUAGGGAAGAACAAAUGUGUAAGUAACUAUGCACGUCUUGACGGUACCUAAUCAGAAAGCCACGGCUAACUACGUG
This 497-nucleotide ribosomal RNA is filed under the name uncultured bacterium. Its description in RNAcentral is "partial 16S ribosomal RNA". It matches the Rfam family "Bacterial small subunit ribosomal RNA", at positions 28 to 507 of the family's 1533-position model. The record is from RNAcentral.